Molecule: long non-coding RNA, 1370 nt
Organism: Triplophysa rosa
Lineage: Eukaryota; Metazoa; Chordata; Actinopteri; Cypriniformes; Nemacheilidae
Exons: 6
Source: RefSeq, a predicted model, not a curated record
UGGAGUGCAAACACACCGCCUGAAAAGAGGUAAAAUCUUUCUUUCUUUUUAUAUGUAGGCCUGCUUUACAGAGAGAGGGAGAGAGGGAAAGCGAGUGAGAGUCAUUUAAGCUUUUGAUAAACACAGUGUUUGUUUUAUAAGGACCAUUCAUUUUCAGUCAGCAGAAGCAAAACGCCUUUGUUGUUUAAAUUAUAUUACACCAUUAAACUGUCAUUAGCCUCUUUAAUUUAACUUUAUAGAUGCAUUGUUUUCUUUUCUGUUAUAAUCUUCCUUGAAUCGUGUUUAAAGAUGCUCUAUAUCUUAUUCCUGUCUGUCCGCAGUGAGGAAUCAUGGGAGAAUUUAAAGUAACGCUGCUCAUCAUCUGUAUUCAUCUCUGUAUGGACAUUUCAAAUGUGAAAAGUGAAUUUAAAAGUGAAUUUCACUCCAAACACUCAUAAUGCGUGUCAUUUCUCUCUCUCUGGAGUCGGUUCAGGCAUUAAAGUGUAUGAAACCUGCAUGCCGACUGAAUGCAUGAUUUGUGAUCGUAUCAUAUCAGACUACGCCGACCCUUGCCCACAGUGUAACCAAAGCUGCUACAACAAUGUUUCGGCACAUUGCAGACGAGAGUUCAACGUGACCCUGAAUCCCAGUUCCAACACAGUCCAGAAAGGGAAAGGCGCAACUGUGACAUGCAUUCAUAACCUUCCCCGAGACAAUAUUUCCAUCAGCUGGAUUGUAAACAAGAAUUUAAUGAAGGGAGAUUCUAACAAAACAUUAGAGAUCCUCGAAAUCACAGAACAAAAAGAAAUCACCUGUAACAUCAGCAGCAUUUGUGGAAACUUCGUUAAUACCGCAACCAUUACUGUAUAAGGUUUAAAUGAAAUGAUGGUUAUAUUGAUCUGUGUCCUGACAGCGUUCCUCAUCCUGGUCUCUUUUGGCAUAGUCAUGAGGAUCAUUCAAAGCAAAGGACAAGCUCAGAGAGAGGCCAGGAGUAGACAACGAGAGCAGAACAUUCAGAACAUCCACAGCACUGCUACCACAGCCUCAAACUACUGGUGAAUACAGAAGACAAAGAGAGAGAAUAGAGACAUCUUCAGAUUUCUAGUUCUGGGUGUGUUCUGUAUACUAAUUUGAUACCGAAUGUUGUUAGUAAUCUCUCAAUUUAUUAAUUGAUAGUUUGUCUUGUAUGUCCUGUGUUUAUUUACACAACAGCGUUGUUGGUUUGUUGCUCCUUAUAUUCACUUGAUUUCAUUUCUUUUAUUCUAAAGAGCCGCUGUACAUAUGUGCUUUCUCACACAUGUUAAAUAGAAGAGAUAUUCUGCAAUGUAAACAUUUCUCACCAUAAUGUCUGAGCUGUAAUAUCAAAUGUUUGGGUCUUUACUGUAAAAAAG